GUUGAAACCAUGAUAUACCAUGAUAGUGAAGUGCCCGAAAUUGGUAUGCUUUGUUUAUUGGAUGUGUGGUGCAUUGGCACAGAAAUCUGUUGGUGGAUAAUGAGUUGCAUAUAUUUUACAUAAUUAUAAAUAUGGCAUCAAAAUGUUGAAAAUCUGAUUUCCCCCAAGCUGAUCAUUGUCUGCAGCCAGCUCUGAUUGUAGUGGAAUGAAACAGGCAGGGAGAGUGAGUGAGCUCGUUUAUGGUGGUCGGCGAACCCCCAACCUUCUGGCCCGUGGCCCUGUGUGGCAUCGAUUGUGCCACAAAAGCAUGCUGAAGUUGCAAAGUUGAUAUCCACGUUUCUAAACACAGGGUAGUAGACAGCUGGUGACAUCCUGAAAGAGAUCGCCGUCCGACAAACUGCUAUCAGGUAGAGUAUUUUUUAUUUUAAUCUAACUAUUUAGCUAUAGAAACGUGAUACCAUCAAUGCAAGCUGUAAAAUGACUCCUAAUUUAGAACACAAAAACCUUAGCAAUGUAGCUAGCUUGCAAGUUAGCUAACUAUACUAGCUAGCAUGUCUCCUCUUCCAGUGCACUCUAAUAAAUAUAUUAAUCUUAUUGCAGUCUUUCGGAGCUAGCAAUAUCUGUUCCUCUUCAUCAGACAGCAGCUCGUGUUUUCACAAGAGGCUAUGUUUACAUCGUAGAUAGAAGCAGACCUUUGGCUGCCUUCAUCACGAGGGACCAGCACAGAGAACCCCAGGAGACCUCUGAGAGUGUGUGUGUGUUGGUGGUAUGCUGCUCUUCACAGCUCUAAAUCACAUUCUUUCUGCUUCCUCAACAAAUUAGACGCAGAGCUUUGUCUUAGGGUCUGCAGAGAGAGGGAGGGAGAGACAGAGAGAGGGCAAGAGAGAACAGAAAGAGAGAGAGCGAGAUAAAGAUAGAUAUAAAGACAGAGAUUAAGAGGAGAGGAAGAGCGAGAGAGGUAAAGAGAGAGACGGAGAGAGAGAGAAAAAGAUAGAUAAAUGGAGAGAGGAAGAGAGAGAUAAAGAGAGCGCGAGAGAGAGAUGGAGAGAGAGAAAUAAAGAGAGAGAGGAAGAGAGAGAGUGUCACACCCUGACCAUAGAGAGCCCUUGGUUCUCUAUGGUGUUGUAGGUCAGGGCGUGACUAGGGGGUGUUCUAGUCUUUUCAUUUCUAUGUUGGUGCUCUUGGUAUGGUUCCCAAUUAGAGGCAGCUGAUGUUCGUUGUCUCUAAUUGGGGAUCAUACUUACUGUUCCCACCUGCUUUGUGGGAUAUUUUUUGUUUGUGGUGGUUCUUGUUACACCACGUCACGUUGUGUUGCUUGUUUAUUGUUUUGGUUGAAGAAGUUUCACUUGAAAUAAAUAUGUGGAACUCAACAAAUGCUGCGCCUUGG
This 1387-nucleotide long non-coding RNA is filed under the name Salmo salar (Atlantic salmon). Its description in RNAcentral is "lncRNA (ENSSSAG00000083212.1)". Lineage: Eukaryota; Metazoa; Chordata; Actinopteri; Salmoniformes; Salmonidae. The record is from RNAcentral.